AUUUGUCUGGUUAAUUCCGAUAACGAACGAGACCUUAACCUGCUAACUAGAUUCUUCUAUAUUAUAGAUGAUAUCUUCUUAGAGGGACUAUGUAAUACAAAUACAUGGAAGUUUGAGGCAAUAACAGGUCAGUGAUGCCCUUAUAUGUCCUGGGCUGCACGCGUGCUACACUGAUGCAUACAACAAGUGCCUAACCAGACAUGGUAUGGCAAUCUCGAAUAUGCGUCGUGAUGGGGAUAGAUCUUUGCAAUUAUAGAUCUUGAACGAGGAAUUCCUAGUAAGUGCAAGUCAUCAUCUUGCAUUGAUUAUGUCCCUGCCCUUUGUACACACCGCCCGUCGCUCCUACCGAUACCGGGUGAUCCGGUGAACCUUUUGGACUCAUUUGGGAAAGAUAAGUAAACCAUAUCACCUAGAGGAAGGAGAAGUCGUAACAAGGUUUCCGUAGGUGAACCUGCRGAAGGAUCA
RNAcentral lists this ribosomal RNA (465 nucleotides) under uncultured ciliate. RNAcentral describes it as "SSU rRNA". It matches the Rfam family "Eukaryotic small subunit ribosomal RNA". The record is from RNAcentral. Lineage: Eukaryota; Ciliophora.